This 253-nucleotide ribosomal RNA is filed under the name uncultured bacterium. RNAcentral describes it as "partial 16S ribosomal RNA". It matches the Rfam family "Bacterial small subunit ribosomal RNA", at positions 524 to 776 of the family's 1533-position model. The record is from RNAcentral.
UACGGAGGGUGCAAGCGUUAUCCGGAUUCACUGGGUUUAAAGGGUGCGUAGGAGGGCAGGUAAGUCAGUGGUGAAAUCUCCAAGCUUAACUUGGAAACUGCCGUUGAUACUAUCUGUCUUGAAUACCGUGGAGGUGAGCGGAAUAUGUCAUGUAGCGGUGAAAUGCUUAGAUAUGACAUAGAACACCAAUUGCGAAGGCAGCUCGCUACACGAAUAUUGACUCUGAGGGACGAAAGCUAGGGGAGCGAAUGGG